CAGCCGCCGCGGUAAUACCAGCACCCCGAGUUGUCGGGACGAUUAUCGGGCCUAAAGCAUCCGUAGCCUGUUCUGCAAGUCCUCCGUUAAAUCCACCUGCUCAACGGAUGGGCUGCGGAGGAUACCGCAGAGCUAGGAGGCGGGAGAGGCAAACGGUACUCAGUGGGUAGGGGUAAAAUCCAUUGAUCUACUGAAGACCACCAGUGGCGAAGGCGGUUUGCCAGAACGCGCUCGACGGUGAGGGAUGAAAGCUGGGGGAGCAAACCGGAUUAGAUACCCGGGUAGUCCCAGCUGUAAACGAUGCAGACUCGGUGAUGCAUUGGCUUGUGGCCAAUGCAGUGCCGCAGGGAAGCCGUUAAGUCUGCCGCCUGGGAAGUACGUACGCAAGUAUGAAACUUAAAGGAAUUGGCGGGGGAGCAC
RNAcentral lists this ribosomal RNA (420 nucleotides) under uncultured Nitrososphaerota archaeon. RNAcentral's name for it is "bacterial SSU rRNA". It matches the Rfam family "Archaeal small subunit ribosomal RNA", at positions 459 to 879 of the family's 1478-position model. The record is from RNAcentral. Lineage: Archaea; Thermoproteati; Nitrososphaerota.